AUGGAGCAGAUGAAGGUGGUGCAUGAGGCCACUCAGGUUGCCUACAACGCCAGCACCACUCUACAAGCCAACGUCAAGAAGUCUUGUGAUCUUGGAGCCCAAUUUUCUGAACUGGAGAAGAAGCAGAUAAGCCUCAACCUUGAUCUGGAACUGGCCAAGAAGAACCUCAAGAAGGCCCAGGACGAAGCAGCUAUCAUGGGAGAUAAAAUGAAGCAGGCUCUGGAGAAGAAGGAUCAGGAUCUUACCGCAACCCAGAAGGAGGCGCGAGAGAAAACGACACUUGCGGACAAGAAGUUGGCCUCGGUCAACAAGUUGGAAGAGGAGAACUCCAAGUUGAAGACUGCCGUUUCUGAAGCUAACCAGGAGGUUGCGCGACUGAAGAAAGACAAGGAAAGCUUGACUGACGAAGUUGGGAGUCUCAAGGCCAAGAAGGGCGAAUUGGAGUCUUAUCUGGGGCAGCUUGCUGGAAGUUGGUCUUAA
This 480-nucleotide ribosomal RNA is filed under the name Triticum aestivum (bread wheat). RNAcentral's name for it is "partial small subunit ribosomal RNA". The record is from RNAcentral. Lineage: Eukaryota; Viridiplantae; Streptophyta; Magnoliopsida; Poales; Poaceae.